This is a small nuclear RNA of Ictidomys tridecemlineatus (thirteen-lined ground squirrel), 109 nucleotides long. The record is from Ensembl. NCBI's taxonomy places the organism in Eukaryota, Metazoa, Chordata, Mammalia, Rodentia, Sciuridae.
CUGCUCGCUUUGGCAGCACAUAUACUAAAAAUUGGGAUUGAUACAGAGAAGACUAGCAUGGCUUCUGCACAAGGAUGACAUGUACAUUCAUGAAGCAUUCCAUAUAUUU